This 832-nucleotide long non-coding RNA is filed under the name Bos taurus (domestic cattle). RNAcentral describes it as "long non-coding RNA NONBTAT000630". The record is from RNAcentral. Lineage: Eukaryota; Metazoa; Chordata; Mammalia; Artiodactyla; Bovidae.
GCGGCCCCCGCCUCGGCGCCCCGCCGGCAUCCUCAGGCCCGGCCUCGUGAGCUGCCCUUUACUGUGGGGGCCCUGGCUCCCCUUCCUCACCUAAAAUUCUCUCUGCGUCCCCUCCCUCCCUGGCGCCUGGAGCCGCAUCCAGCCCGCGGUCCCUUCGCCCGACCUGGGUGGCAUGCGGUCCUCCCUCGCCCCUUGCUUGGGUUCCUGCGCCCCUAGUCCUAGCUCCCCUCUUUUGUAUCCCCCUUUAAUCCCCCAUCCCCCCAUUCAACCCAACUUCAGCCCCCGCGCUGCGCCCCCCUUCCCUGGCCCGGCUCGAUUGGCCGCUUCCUGAGCUGUCAGACUUGAGUCCGGCGCUCUUAUUGGGCGAUUCUCGGGCCGGGCGGCUGUGCCAAAGGAGGGCGCACCGGGCCGGGGGCGCCCAGGCAGCGACUGCCGCAGGGAGCCGAAGACCAGAGUCCCUGGAGGGCCAGAGGGGCCCAAGAGCCAGACCCGGAAAUGGACGGGAGAGAUGGAGAGACUGAGGAUCUCUGAGGCCCAGGAAGACAGUUACGGGAAAGAUGGAGAUGCAGUUGGUGAGGCCGAUGCAACCAGGGCUGGGCGGACAGGAAUGCUUUGGUGGAUAGUUACAGAGCAAGAACCCCGCAGACAGCAUUACGAACACCUGGCGUUUGUGAAGAGCUCUCUCUGCUCGUUCUCCUGCUGGAAGUUCCCGCAGCCUAAACUCUGGACAGAUGGGGAACAAUCACCUCUAAUCCCAGGAGAGAGAAACAAGCUUCACUUUCUUCCUUCAGCUCUCCCUGUGGAGGUUCUGACAAAGAGACUAGAGGCCUGG